AUUUUAUUGAAACUGUACAAAUUAAUGACACCAAAUUCAGAAAUUGACAGCAAAUGGCACUUUAAGAAAUCAACAACAAAUUCCACAACAUGUGCUGCUGCUACUACCAGAAGUAUGCCACCCUGCUACCACAACAACAACAUAUUCAGUCCAUCUGCGCUGAACCACGCAUGCCAGCCUGCUGCCUUUUUUCUGAUGGUUCUUCACUUCAGUUCAGGACAUGUACAGGAUAUGCCAUGCUAGGCGAGCUUGCCAGGGAGCACGAGGUGGACCGCGUUCUGCAUGUCGCGGGUGCGUGAGCGUGGCGCGCCCGGUGUACUGCGCCAGCCGCGACACCUCCGUGGCCAGCCUCUUCUUGGUCCCGUCGAUGGCCUCGUCCUUGUAUGCGUAGGGCUCCUCCUGCGUGUCCUGGCUCUGCAGCAACUCUAGCAUCUUGCUGGCGCCUCUCUUGCGUUGUUGUUUCCCCGUCGAAGGCCAGCGACACCGCCGUGUAUCCGGAGGCACGGAGGGGGGCGUUGAAGAGGAUCCAGGAAGCGACGGAGGCCGCUAGCAGCAGCGCGCUCAGGUCCGCCCGGCCACGGCGCCACAGCACGUCGGAGCCGGCAAAUUGAGCGCUUUGCAGAGAAGGGGAUCCCUUUCCUCUUGAUCUCCCCUCCCCUCCCCCCUCGUCGGAAUCAGGUAACGAGGACGAAGAAAGGCGGCGAGAUGAAGGGGAGAAGGCAGCCGGCGCGCGGCGAGGCGACGGAGCAGGUGGCCGGGGGAGAGGAUGUCGCCAUCGCCGUUGCAAAAUCGAGGAGGAGAGGAUGGGGGGACGCGGUGCGGGUUGUGUCGUUUGUCG
RNAcentral lists this ribosomal RNA (838 nucleotides) under Triticum aestivum (bread wheat). RNAcentral describes it as "partial small subunit ribosomal RNA". Lineage: Eukaryota; Viridiplantae; Streptophyta; Magnoliopsida; Poales; Poaceae. The record is from RNAcentral.